UACGAAGGGGGCUAGCGUUGCUCGGAAUCACUGGGCGUAAAGGGUGCGUAGGCGGGUCUUUAAGUCAGGGGUGAAAUCCUGGAGCUCAACUCCAGAACUACCUUUGAUACUGAAGAUCUUGAGUCCGGGAGAGGUGAGUGGAACUGCGAGUGUAGAGGUGAAAUUCGUAGAUAUUCGCAAGAACACCAGUGGCGAAGGCGGCUCACUGGCCCGGUACUGACGCUGAGGCACGAAAGCGUGGGGAGCAAACAGG
Molecule: ribosomal RNA, 253 nt
Filed under: uncultured bacterium
Lineage: Bacteria
Description: partial 16S ribosomal RNA
Rfam family: Bacterial small subunit ribosomal RNA
Source: RNAcentral